CUGAACAUAGUAUGUUUUAUUUAAAAAGUAUUUAAGAUAGAAAGGUCCUGGAUUCUGCAUUUCUUAUCUCCCUUCCGUUGACUUCCAUUGCUGUUUCACUGACUUCAAGGAAAAGUCUGGGGUCCUGCUGACUUCAGUGGACGUUUGGGAUGAGUGAGGAAAGCAGAAUCAGUAACCAAAUUCAAGGCAGCAACAGGUCUGAAAUCUUGUCUCCGUUUUGACUGCCAUAUGAGCAAUAGUAGAUCCAGCCACAAUUAUGGAAAAUCUUCAGCAACAAAUUAUUAGGAUUUUGCUGGUGACCUGUUGGGAAAAUCUUGCAGGAUAAAGACUUAGCUCUGUGAAAUAUAAAUAAAAAUGGCCAUGGACCUACCUAAGCAAAGUGGAAGAUGUUGCUCUCCAACACUGCACUUCCUCUGUGAAUAUCAGACACAAAGUUAUGAGUGUGACAGAAUAUAUGGAAAAAUUUAGACGAUGUUGUACAGUUGAUCAGUCAUCAGACUCAAAAUACUCUUCAUCUAGUCUACCAACAUUACCAAUAAUAUAUUGUGUUGUUUCCAAGCCUAGGAAGAAGACACCUAGGCCAGCUCUACACUAGAAAAAGCUUGCUGAUAUAGCUAUACUGGCAUAGCUAAAUUGGCAAACUCUCUUUGGCCUGGUCUACACUAUGAGUUUAGUUCGAAUUUAGCAGCGUUAAAUCGAAUUAACUCUGCACCCGUCCACACAACGAAGCCAUUUAUUUUGAAAUAAAGGGCUCUUAAAAUCGAUUUCUGUACUCCUCCCCGAUGAGGUGGAGGAGAACAGAAGUGCACCAUUGUGACAGCUCUGGACAGCAAUCUGAACUCAGAUGCAAUGGCCAGGUACACAGGAAAAGCCCCGCGAACUUUUGAAUUACAUUUCCUGUUUGCCCAGCGUGGAGAGCACAGGUGACCAUGCAGAGCUCAUCAGCACAGGUAACCAUGCAGUCCGAGAAUUGAAAAAGAGCACCAGCAUGGACCGUACAGGAGGUACUGGAUCUGAUCGCUAUAUGGGGAGAGGAUUCCGUGCUAGCAGAACUACGUUCCAAAAGACAAAAUGCCAAAACUUUUGAAAAAAUCUCCAAGGGCAUGAUGGAGAGAGGCCACAAUAGGGACUCAUAUCAGUGCCGCGUGAAAGUUAAGGAGCUCAGACAAGCCUAUCAAAAAACAAAGGAGGCAAACGGUCGCUCCAGGUCAGAACUGCAGACAUGCCGCUUCUAUGCUGAGCUGCAUGCAAUUCUAGGGGGGGCCACUACCACUACCCCACCUCUGACCAUGGAUUCCGAGCAGGGGGUAAUCUCAGCCAUGCCUGAGGAUUCUGCGGACGGGGAAGAUGAGGAGGAGGAGGAGGACGACGAGCUUGCGGAGAGCACACAGCACUCCGUUCUCCCCAACAGCCAGGAUCUUUUUCUCAGCCUGACUGAAGUACCCUCCCAACCCCCAGACAAUGAGGCCAUGGAAGGGACCUCUGCUGCAAAUUUUUCAAGCCUCUCUCCUCUGUCCCGAAGGCUAUCUCAGAUAAGGCGGUGAAAAAAAAGGAUGCGAGACGAAAUGUUCUCUGAAAUCAUGGAAUCCACCCGCAAUGAAAGAGCUCAUCUGAAUGAGUGGAAGGACACGAUAUCAAAGUACAGGAAAGAUGCCAGUGAACGUGAGGCCAUGAGGGACGCUCAAGAUGAGAGGUGGCAGACUGCAACGCUGGGGCUGCUGCAUGAUCAAACAGACAUGCUCCAGCGUCUGGUGGAGCUUCAGGAAUGGCAGCAGGAUCACAGAGAGCCACUGCAGCUGCUGUAUAACCUCCCUCCCCCCUCACCAUGUUCCAUAGCCUCCUCACCCAGACGUGUAAGAACACGGUGGGGGGAGGGAGGCUCUGUACACCCUUCCACUCCACCCCAGUGGACGCCCAAGCAAAAGGCUGUCAUUACUUUGAACUUUUUUAGUGGCCUUUUCCUUCCCUCCUAUCCUCCUCCCAAACCCCACCCGGGCUACCUUGUCAGUUCUCUCCCUAUG
Molecule: long non-coding RNA, 2021 nt
Organism: Malaclemys terrapin pileata
Lineage: Eukaryota; Metazoa; Chordata; Testudines; Emydidae
Exons: 3
Source: RefSeq, a predicted model, not a curated record